Molecule: long non-coding RNA, 898 nt
Organism: Lepidothrix coronata (blue-crowned manakin)
Lineage: Eukaryota; Metazoa; Chordata; Aves; Passeriformes; Pipridae
Exons: 3
Source: RefSeq, a predicted model, not a curated record
CAGGCCUGGCUGGCCUGCCCCCCGCGGGGGGCUUGGAGCCGCUGCCUCCCCCAUACCCCUGCACACCCACGUCUAGAGACGAGAUGCCGCAUGACCUCAGGACUCGUUUAAUAGUGAUGAUGGAGCCCUGCUCUUCCAGGGCAUCGCCGUCCUCCUCCGGGUAAUGGAAAGCCACGAAGAGCUGGUACAGAUGCCCACCAUGACAGCCAGGGCACCUGCCAAGUAGCUGGUGAGGAUGUCCCCCUUUGUCUCUUCGCUGGUGACCCUCUGUGCGGCGCCGGCCAGGGUGAUUGUCUGGAGAAGACGGACGUGCCCAUCUCAGCCCCACCAGCCCUGUGCUGAGACACCGCCUCCACUGACAGCACAGGGCAGCGAGGCGAGGGCUGUGCCGGUGCCGCCUCUGUGGUUUUGCUCCCCGUCCUUGGACAUCGGACAGGCACUGGCAGGGAGGCGCUUACUGCUCUCACUUGUGGUUUUGACAGCAAAGCAAUCAAAUUAUUAGCAAUUAAGUGAACUGCUUCCCUGGGGAGGUGGUGGGGACGAAGUGCUACGGCACAGCCAUGGGGACACCAUUUGCCAUCGUGGGAUGUAGCCCAAAUGCCAGGAGCAGCUCCAGAGCCCCAACCUCUGCCUACUCCAAGGCAGGAGGAAUUGUGGCACGUGCUGCCCGGUGCCACACCCUGAUUGCAGCGGAGCCGCGGCACAGGGCGGGCCAUGCCACGGGAACAGGGUCCAAGUGGAAGGACAGGCAGUGCUGAGUCGCACAUUCGAGAGUGGCGCAGCGCCAAACACCCCCCACCCCAGCAAGGGGCAGGCAGUGGAGCCCUGGGACGCCUGGCACCUGCCAGCACCCCACCGUCAGCCCCAUCCUACCCACAUGACCCCCGCAUCAGCCCUA